GACGAACGCUGGCGGCGUGCUUAACACAUGCAAGUCGAACGGAAAGGCCCCUUUGGGGGUCCUCGAGUGGCGAACGGGUGCGUAACACGUGAGUAACCUGCCCUUGACUUCGGGAUAACUUCAGGAAACUGGGGCUAAUACCGGAUAGGAAUCCUUGCUGCAUGGUGGGGGUUGGAAAGCUUCGGCGGUUUUGGAUGGACUCGCGGCUUAUCAGCUUGUUGGUGGGGUAGUGGCUUACCAAGGCUUUGACGGGUAGCCGGCCUGAGAGGGCGACCGGCCACAUUGGGACUGAGAUACGGCCCAGACUCCUACGGGAGGCAGCAGUGGGGAAUAUUGCACAAGGGGCGGAAGCCUGAUGCAGCAACGCCGCGUGCGGGAUGACGGCCUUCGGGUUGUAAACCGCUUUCAGCAGGGGCGAAGCUUGUGGUGACGGUACCUGCAGAAGAAGCACCGGCUAACUACGUG
This 465-nucleotide ribosomal RNA is filed under the name uncultured bacterium. Its description in RNAcentral is "partial 16S ribosomal RNA". It matches the Rfam family "Bacterial small subunit ribosomal RNA", at positions 28 to 507 of the family's 1533-position model. The record is from RNAcentral.